This 117-nucleotide ribosomal RNA is filed under the name Sinocyclocheilus anshuiensis. The record is from RNAcentral. Lineage: Eukaryota; Metazoa; Chordata; Actinopteri; Cypriniformes; Cyprinidae.
GGCCACAGCCAUAUCACCCUGCAGCCCAAGACUGGUUGCCCACUGAAGCUAAGCAAGGUUGAGCCUGGUCAGUACCUGGAUGGGCGACCUCUUUGGAAAACUAGGUUGCUGUUGGAA